This is an RNA transcript of Toxorhynchites rutilus septentrionalis, 3080 nucleotides long. RefSeq lists it as uncharacterized. The transcript has 6 exons. The record is from RefSeq and is a predicted model, not a curated record. NCBI's taxonomy places the organism in Eukaryota, Metazoa, Arthropoda, Insecta, Diptera, Culicidae.
CUCGCUCGGUAUGGAUCUGGCCCUGUGCAGUUUUAGCGCGACAUUUGGGUGCGAUGAAAUCGUGUCCUCGUCAGGGACACGUAAUUCUGACGGGCAGCGUUUGAUAAAAGGUGGGAAACGUAAUUGAAUAAAAACGCUCGUGGCCGUAAGGGUGGGUGAAUAAUUAAGGACGACGUGCAAUUGAGUGCACGUGAGGCUGGAAGCUGGUGCGUGGCAUUUCUCACUGAGGAGGUGUUGUGUUAGAAGAAUUUUUUUCACGAUUUGGUGACUCUUUUCAUCUGAAACAUAGUGGUUUCCAACUAUGGUCAAUAGGUUCAACCACAUAUUGCCUGUGACAGGAAGGUAUCGAUGAAUGUGAUGCAACUAGGGUUGACACUUUGAGAGCAGCUGGAGCCUGAGAAUGUAUGAUGUGGAAUGAAGUUGCCAUGAAUAAAAUGAAUGUAGAUUUAUGUGCAAUACGGCGACAACAACUAUAACAAUGUGAUAUAUUGGAUCAAAAAAAUACUUUGACGGAUGACAUGAAGCCGUUUGUCCGGCUCGUUGUGUACCGGAACAGAUGCUAAUGAUGUGUGCGCCCAGCGAUACAGAAAUGUUGUGAAAAUUGUUGUAUGAAUAGCGACAUUCCAAAACACUGGAUUGACAUGGACUGGGAUUGCGAAUGAUUGAUGUGACUCGGCAUAUUAGUGAAUAUGGAAACGAAUGAAAUAACACACAAAUACCAAAGGGUUUAUUAUGGAUCAUUGUCCACUUUCAUUGCCGGUUUAUGGUAAUUUCUUUUCAGACAUUAUAAAAUCGAAUGGAAAGCAAUCAUCUAGUGAGUGAAAACUGGUGAGGUUAGGUAUUUUUCAUUUGAUCUUCAAUGUUUAUGAAACUGAAAAAUUCAGAUAAUUUCCACAUGUAGGGGAAGACGGGGUAAGAUCGUCCCCCUAAGAAAACCAAUUUUCAGUUCAACGUCCUUUAGGAUUUCCCCUAUUCGUUGUGCUACAUAUCAUUGAGCAUAUGAUAAUCUACUACUAAAAAUGUGUAACUGUUGAUUGUAUAACUUUUUCGGAGUUUUUUCAUUAAUUUUUGAAAUGAUAAAAAAACACUUCUUAUUUUGCUGGCGGAGUAAAAGGGCCACCCGCGGGUAGACGGAGCGAUACUAUUUUCAAACAGUUAAGUCUAGUGAUAAUAACAGGAACAGUGUUGUUUAAGGUACUAAAUGUUUAAGGUUGUUCAUAAACUACACACAAACAACUGAAAAGGCUAUCUAUAUUCCAUGUGCAGAGUUUUCAAAAAAUUCGUGAAAAUCUUGCCCUAUUAUCGGACGAUUAUCUACGUACUUUCUAAAAAUCUGUUCACGUGAAGUCUUAAUGACCCCGAAGUAGGUAUUUCUGGUUCCGAUUCGAUAUGUUGAUAUCACAACCUGGGGCAUUUUUACCCCGUCGAAAAUGGUCCGCACUUUACACGCAUUUUAUAUUAUAUUUUACAUACCUUUUCAUGCAAGCACAAUCGGAACAAUCUACUGAAGGACUGGAAUACUGGCAAUUAACGGAAUAUACAGUUUUUGUUGGAGAAAUUCUUAUUUAGGUUACCUUGAAAAUUAAAUCGCUUGCAACUGCAAUAGACGAAAACUUUGUUUUGUUUACAAUUUUGAUAUUUCGUGCGCUAGUUAACGAUUGAACCCUAGACACAACCAGCCCAUCGUCAGCAUAAUCGCGUAUCGCAUGAGAAGCGAUAUGAGCCGCCGCAGAUAAACAAACAUCAUUUCUGCUGAGUGGACAACCACCGCGGGACUGUCAUCAGUUAGUUUACAUAUAGCCUGGAGAGAUGAAAUAAAAUAGUCUUAACUUCAUCACCGACGAGUGCAGUCGAAUUUUUAUUUUUAAAAAGAAAACCCUAGAAAAUAUUUAACUGGCGCCCGAGUAGGGACCUCGCCAGUGUGGGAAGAGUAUAAGGUUUUGUGUUGUGAAUUCGUAAAAAAGUGAAGAAAUCAAAUUCAACAAUUAGGUUCAACGAGCCUUCAUCACGAAACCGAAGCGGAACCAGGACACCGAGUUUGUUAAACUCAAUCGCUAUUGGGACCCCGAGUAGCAGCCCAUCAAGGACGGCAAAAGGAUUUACCCCGACAUAGCUGCCUGGUUUUCCCCCCACCAAGCGAGGUUAGCGAGGAAUCAACACAAAAAGUCCAACUCUUGUUUCGACAAUGUUGGCAUUUAUAAAACAAAACUCAUUGCACCCCACUGCACAGGCGAUCGGCUUCAUCAUCGAAAUUGCAGCAGUUCGAUAGACCGGACCUGAGCGAGCACAAAAUUUACGACUCGGAUGAGAGCGAUCUGCACCGGAUAUCGCUUGCCCGGGGGCCAUAUUUAGAUUUAUCUGAGUCGAAGACCCUUGUAGGAAAGACCGCCCAUCUCAAAUGCCGGAUGUGGAAUAUGGCAAUGAAACGGAGGGUUCGACUUCGUAAUAUACACAGAUGAACGAUGAGUGGAUUCACAUACUCAUCGGAUCAUGAAUCCGAAGUGUGAACAACCUCCUUCCAGAUGAUUGGUCGUUACAGUUAGAACUGACCUUGACCAUCGGUUUACCAUCUGACAUACGUACUGAUGCUUUUCCUAGGAUCUAGGAUUGAGAAGAUAACAUCAGCGAAAUCAAAUUGAUUUCUGCAAAACUCGAUUCUAGAGAUUUUAUCUAUCGAGACUCUUAUCGCUGGUCUUUGUCACGGUUAAAACGAAAAGGAGGAGACUGCGAAAAUGGAAAGAAAAUAACAACCAUCGAAAUAUGGACUGAGAGCGGAAGAUUUUGUUGCUAGAUUUGAUACCCAAAAUGUAGCAGGAUAAGCUCAAAACAAAUGUCGAUUGUUAAACAGCUUAGUGCCACUCGUGACGCAAAAAAAAUCUGAUACAGAUUUUUGUUUUUCAUUUUUGUCAUCAGUAUCCAUACGAAUCGAAGUCUAUCCUAUAAAAUCUGUGAUUUAAACUACGCAUUGACAAGUUAUUACAUUCAAACUAUUUAUUGUAAAAUUAAGGUGUGAAAUUAGGGAAUAAAAAUGAUGUACAGAAGUAUAUUUUUAAAUAAAAAAAGUCAUCAAUUGAGUCGGU